This 253-nucleotide ribosomal RNA is filed under the name uncultured bacterium. RNAcentral describes it as "partial 16S ribosomal RNA". It matches the Rfam family "Bacterial small subunit ribosomal RNA", at positions 524 to 776 of the family's 1533-position model. The record is from RNAcentral.
UACGUAUGGUGCAAGCGUUAUCCGGAUUUACUGGGUGUAAAGGGAGCGCAGGCGGCGCGUUAAGCCUGGUGUGAAAGCCCGCGGCCCAACCGCGGGACUGCAUUGGGAACUGGCGCGCUGGAGUGCCGGAGGGGUAGGCGGAAUUCCUAGUGUAGCGGUGAAAUGCGUAGAUAUUAGGAGGAACACCAGUGGCGAAAGCGGCCUACUGGACGGUGACUGACGCUGAGGCUCGAAAGCGUGGGGAGCAAACAGG